RNAcentral lists this ribosomal RNA (253 nucleotides) under uncultured bacterium. RNAcentral's name for it is "partial 16S ribosomal RNA". It matches the Rfam family "Bacterial small subunit ribosomal RNA", at positions 524 to 776 of the family's 1533-position model. The record is from RNAcentral.
UACGUAGGGUGCGAGCGUUAAUCGGAAUUACUGGGCGUAAAGCGUGCGCAGGCGGUUCGCCAAGUCAGGUGUGAAAUCCCCGGGCUUAACCUGGGAAUUGCGCUUGAAACUAGCGGGCUUGAGUGUGGCAGAGGGGGGUGGAAUUCCAGGUGUAGCGGUGAAAUGCGUAGAUAUCUGGAGGAACACCGGUGGCGAAGGCGGCAUCCUGGACCGGUAUUGACGCUGAGGCGCGAAAGCCAGGGGAGCAAACGGG